CGAAGGGUAGGAAAAUGGAAACACUGAAGCUGGGCACAAAGAACGUUUUCAUUUUCAGACAUAGCCGUACCAAAGAUAGGGUCAGGGGGUAAAAAUACUUCCGAAGAGCCUUUGUAAGCUACUUCCCAGUGACCUUCUAGAGAGUGAUUUCGGUUGGUGAUUACAUAUUGGUAUCCAACCCAGAACCUACGUUGGUCCUUCCUGACAAAUGUCUUUUCUUCCAAGUCCCACUCCUGUGCCAGGAUAAACCUCAGCUCCUGGUCUGCAGUGAAGGUGGCGAGGGAUCCGUUCACCCGCUGACAUGUCUGCACGGCGUCCCAGUAGUUCUCCCCAUUUAAAUAGACUCUGUAACAGCUGGCUGUGCCCUCGUAGUGAUGCCACCCUGUUGGGCACUUUCCUAUCUUAAUAAGCUUCUCCUCUUCUU
RNAcentral lists this long non-coding RNA (424 nucleotides) under Gallus gallus (chicken). The record is from RNAcentral. Lineage: Eukaryota; Metazoa; Chordata; Aves; Galliformes; Phasianidae.